GCGGGCGUAGCUCAAUGGUAGAGCCUCAGUCUUCCAAACUGAUGGUGCGGGUUCGAUUCCCGUCGCCCGCUC
This 72-nucleotide transfer RNA is filed under the name Rhodoluna sp. KAS3. RNAcentral describes it as "tRNA-Gly". It matches the Rfam family "tRNA". Rfam says of the family: Transfer RNA (tRNA) molecules are approximately 80 nucleotides in length. The record is from RNAcentral. Lineage: Bacteria; Bacillati; Actinomycetota; Actinomycetes; Micrococcales; Microbacteriaceae.